RNAcentral lists this ribosomal RNA (776 nucleotides) under uncultured Neocallimastigales. RNAcentral describes it as "partial large subunit ribosomal RNA". It matches the Rfam family "Eukaryotic large subunit ribosomal RNA", at positions 22 to 645 of the family's 3401-position model. Lineage: Eukaryota; Fungi; Neocallimastigomycota; Neocallimastigomycetes; Neocallimastigales. The record is from RNAcentral.
UGUACACGCUGUGACUAGCAUAUCAAUAAGCGGAGGAAAAGAAACUAACAAGGAUUCCCCUAGUAACGGCGAGUGAAGCGGGAAGAGCUCAAAUUUGAAAUCUUAAAGGGUUUCCCUUUACGAAUUGUAGUUUAAAGAAGUGUUUUCUGUUGAGGUUUUGGUAAAAGUUCUUUGGAAUAGGACAUCAUAGAGGGUGAGAAUCCCGUAUUUGACCUUUACUUUCAACUUUGUGAUACACUUUCAAAGAGUCGGAUUGUUUGGGAAUGCAGUCCAAAAUGGGUGGUAAAUUUCAUCUAAAGCUAAAUAUUGGCGAGAGACCGAUAGCGAACAAGUACCGUGAGGGAAAGAUGAAAAGAACUUUGAAAAGAGAGUUAAACAGUACGUGAAAUUGUCAAGAGGGAAGCGUUUGACACCAGUGUUGUUUUCUGAAAAUCAAUUAAAGAACUGUUUAUGCUAAGUUGUUUAGACUUUAUCAGCCUAUCUGUUAUAGUUUUGAGCUUUUCCUUAAUGCACUUUUCAGUUAACAAGUCAACAUCAAUUUCUUUUGCUGUAAAAAAGCUUGAGGAAGGUGGCUUGAGAUUCGUCUUAAGUGUUUAUAGCCUCUUGCCUAUGCAGUCGGAGAGAUUGAGGUCUGCAGCGUAGAUCCUUCGGGGCUAAAUGCAUUUGUGCUAAGUUAUAACAUUUUAUAGACAACUUGUUGACUAUGAUUUGUCUUGUAGCUUACUCGCUUAUGUUAUUUUACCUACGCUUAGGAUGUUGACGAGACUGUCGAUCUC